Acanthosepion pharaonis is the source of this 114-nucleotide non-coding RNA. Lineage: Eukaryota; Metazoa; Mollusca; Cephalopoda; Sepiida; Sepiidae. The record is from the annotation of a GenBank genome assembly.
UUACGGCCAAAUCACGUUGAAACACCGGUUCCAGUAUAAUCACAGAAGUUAAGCAACCUCGAGCUUGGUCAGUACCUAGAUGGGUAACCGCUUCGGAAUACCAGGUGCUGUAAG